GAUCAUAUGAAGCUUUCAGCAGUUAAAAAUUUAAUUAAGCAUCCGAGCAUAACAUUCGCCUUGUAGUUUGCAUACAAGAUAAGAUAUGUAGGCUCCUACUUUAAUAAGCUCAUAAUUAUUAUUCAGAUACAUAUUGUCUGGCAAAGAAAGAAAGAUGCGAAUACCAAACAAACAGUCCGUAGAGAGAAUGAAGAGAUGAAUCCAUAAGAGGGAGAAUGAAAGAUGUCCCAACAAAAGAAGAAGUUCAAAGUUGUUCAAAGUUCAAACAGAGGAUAAUUGUUAGAAACUCUGUGCAGUUGUAGCAAUUCAUUAUUAUGAGGCUUCAGCAUCAAUGAAAGUGAAGAAAGCACAGUAAAGCAUCUCUUCAUGUACCACAUCAGAUCAUGUAGCUUGAAAAAUCAUGGACUCUGAAAUAAGGACAAGAAACAAAAUAAACUUGACAUAGCAAAGCUAGAUUACAUGUAUUGGUGAUGUUCACUAAACUUGAUCGCAUGAAGCAAUUUCUGAAACCAUAAGCAUCCAAUUUAUUAAUGUAUAAUAUGCUUCUGUUAGGAAGUCCAAAAAAGCAUAAGCAGAUGGAGAGAAAAUGCGGAGAGAUAACUGCAGCAAAAAUGUUAUAUAUAUUACAAAAGUGACAGUGAAAAUCAAUAAAUAAAAGGAGAAUAUCCGCAUAAUAAUAGGUGAAGUUCUAACUUUGAUGAGAUGAAGCGAAUUUUGAAACCUUAAGCAUCCAAUUUAUUGAUGUUGAAGAUCAUAUACAGAAAGAGAAAAUGGGAAGAGAUACUGUAGAGGAAGGCAACACAUGUACACUUGUGAGUCACAAAAUGAAAUCACCUAUCCUUGCUUUAUACAGUUGCUUACAGGAGGGCUAAAUUCAGAGACACAAGAUUAGAGUAAGCAGUAAACACUGCCGAUCACUUCCUAGACCAUGUACACACCAGUCCGAGUAUGACCUCCCAGGAAGCCAUUUAGCAGCUACAUAAGGGCAUAAUACAUGCACUCGCCUCCCACCAUAAUGAAUACAGUACUUGCCAUUGUUGUAAACUUGAAAUAGACAAACAAAAAGAAAAACAAGAGGCAGAGGUGAGGAAAAAAUUGCAUGAGAUAUCUAUACUCAAAAUUCAAGCAGACACCAUUGUAGUUUCCACUUAUCUAAAAACCAUUGUAGUUUCCAGGCUGAAAGUACUACAGGUAUACCAACCAAUGUUCCCUUUGUACCUAGUACCUAAUGGUGGUAGUUUCCUUGAACAGAGUCAUAUUUGUAUCUGUGCGAUCAAAGCAAGUAACUGAUAGAAAAUAUCCACAUGGCACAGCACAAGGCAUAAAUUGGCUCAAGCUGGCACUGAUGGAUUUCACAAUAAAUUAGACAUUUAAGAAUCAUUCUGCAAUCAUAUAGAGGUUAUGCACAAUUUAAAACAUAUAUUACUUUUCUUAGAAUAGAAGAAACAUGCUGAAGUAAAUACCGAAAAAUAAGCUGAUGGUGAUCUGCACAUUCUGCAUCAGGUCAAUCAAUUCAUCAAAGCAGAUACUAAUACUGGCAUCACUCAUGUACAUAAACAUAGUUCUGUUUAGAAAAAUCUAAUCACCAACAAGGAAAGUAGGCUAAAAUUAGAGUGCCAAUUUGAAGUUAAAUUACUAAAAUAGUAAAUUUGAAGUUUGGUGCAAGUUGGAUUGCCUCCCCCCAUUGAAAAAUGAUAAGCAAAAAACGCUUCAUACACGAAUGAAUUAAUCCAUAGCAUAUAUAGAACACUUU
Molecule: unclassified non-coding RNA, 1753 nt
Filed under: Hevea brasiliensis (rubber tree)
Lineage: Eukaryota; Viridiplantae; Streptophyta; Magnoliopsida; Malpighiales; Euphorbiaceae
Source: RNAcentral